Molecule: ribosomal RNA, 254 nt
Filed under: uncultured bacterium
Lineage: Bacteria
Description: partial 16S ribosomal RNA
Rfam family: Bacterial small subunit ribosomal RNA
Source: RNAcentral
CACGUAGGGGGCAAGCGUUGUCCGGAUUUAUUGGGCGUAAAGAGCUCGUAGGCGGUUCGAUAAGUCGGGUGUGAAACCUCCAGGCUCAACCUGGAGACGCCACCCGAUACUGUUGUGACUGGAGUCCGGUAGGGGAGCGUGGAAUUCCUGGUGUAGCGGUGAAAUGCGCAGAUAUCAGGAGGAACACCAAUGGCGAAGGCAGCUCGCUGGGACGUGACUGACGCUGAGACGCGAAAGCGUGGGGAGCAAACAGG